Long non-coding RNA from Sus scrofa (pig), 931 nucleotides. RefSeq lists it as uncharacterized. The record is from RefSeq and is marked validated. NCBI's taxonomy places the organism in Eukaryota, Metazoa, Chordata, Mammalia, Artiodactyla, Suidae.
ACACACACGGCACAAGAUGGCCGGAGAGGCAGCAGCACUGCGAGCUGUCAGGCGUUCCUCCGCGGCCGCGGUGCCCGCCGGUCGGCGGGGAGCUGCGCCCGGGAGGCCCGCAGGCUCGCGGGAACCCAGCGGCUGCGGAUGGGGCGAGGCGGGCCGCGGGUCGGGCUGGGAGCCCCCGGCAGAGACGCCCGGGGCAGCCGGGCCCACGACGGGGAAAGCGCCGCUGCGGCAGCGGCUGCGGAGGCUCCUCGGGGCCCCGGCGGCUCGACCUGGUACGGGCGGGAGGCUCGGGCAGGCGGCCCGGCGCGGGACUCGGGCGUGAGUGACCAAGGGGUGCUGACCGCGGCGCUCGGACCCGGCAACUUACAAGAUUAAAAUUAAAUUUGGUUGAUGAUGGUUCUGGACAAAUACAGCUCUUUUAUUUGAGGUAUGCCAUUUUGAAGACAGACCCGUGGAAUUUUAUCCUUGAGGAUAGGGGAAAUCUUUGUGAAAGUCUGUAUUUUAUAAAGCAACAAUAUGAAUCCUGAGGCUGAAUUGUCUAAGGGGCCUGUACAGCGAAAUAGAUCACCCAGUCAGCUUGAAGAGUCUCAAAUGGACCCUACAACUGAGAAAUCAAGAUGGCAGUCCACUAUGGGAAAUGAGAAAAAUGGACUAAUGCAAGAGUGCUGUGAUAAUAACAACCAAGACAGGGUUCUUUUAACAUGGAUUUCAUGAAUGAAGAUAUAGGUUUCUUAACCAACACAAUGGACAGUGGAUUUGACUUUGGAAAGACUUUUUGUAUCAUAAAAACAAGAACAUUUUUGACAUUUGGAGAAGAAAGAUGACACAUUAACAGAUGAUAGUUUGUAUGUCUGGAAUUUUUUGGUUUGAUUUGUAUGAGAAUGACCUUGUGGAAUGUUAACUUUAAUAAAAUUUCUAACAGUUUAAAAUU